Molecule: long non-coding RNA, 532 nt
Organism: Neltuma alba
Lineage: Eukaryota; Viridiplantae; Streptophyta; Magnoliopsida; Fabales; Fabaceae
Exons: 2
Source: RefSeq, a predicted model, not a curated record
AGCGGGAACAUUGGUCUUUGCGAUGAGUACGAUACGGCUCUCAUCAUCACCGACGCUCAUAAUUCUUGCAUAGCAAUUCGGCAUGCACUACAAGAAUCAAGCAGAGCAGUUCAUUUCUGAUGGGCUUUCAAAUGCGCCAGCAGAGUAAUACCCAGAGCCUCCCCAGUAUCAGUUUAGAGAAUUCAUCAGCGACAAGUGAUCAAAAGACACAGAAAGGAAGUUGACGGGCCCAACACAAAAUGGGAACUAUAUGUGAGAAAGGGGACGGAUAGAGCCAAUAGCCAAGGGACUUAGUGCAGGAUAGCGUGAAGGGCAGAAUAGCAAUAAGCAGCACCUGACCUCUCAAAAAGUCAGGCAGGAAAUUCCCUUUGUUGUCUUUUCUUUCUGAUUAUGUUUAUUCUUGUUUUCCCUCUUCCUACUUCACAGAGAAGAGGUGUAAUUUUCCCUCAAUUCGUUAAUAUUAUCAACUCCAAGCAGAUGUGAAGGAUCUUUGUAAAAUACAAGUGUAAGAAUACCAUUUCCCCUUCUUGUA